GCGCCGCCCCCCGCCCCGCCCGCACAAGGUGCCCUCGGCGCCGCAUGGCACCCGCCGGCGACAGGCGGCGGUGACACGACAGGACAGGGCAGGGCAAGGCAGGACAGGACAGCCCUUGUAGAUGCUCCGUUACAGCUCCCGUGACUGCCCAGACACCCCUCUGGAGGCAGGCGGCUGCGCUCCUCCCGCGGGGCCGCCCCCGGCUGUCACGGGUGGCCGUGGGCAGGCUGCAGGCUCCUGCGCUGUCCCGAGGCCUCCUACGGCACCCGGGGCGCCCCCGGGUCUGUGCUCCGCUUCCUGGGAACGCGAGGGGACCUCUGUGCUGCUGCCUGAGGAGAGGGACCGAAAGGCCAGGAGGACAGGAUGCCACUGAGGACAAACUUCAGGGCUAUAAGGGGGGAAGAGUAGGAAUGGCAAGUUCCAUGAAAGUAGUGAGAGACUUACAGGAUUGCAGCAAUCUAAUGACAGGGCCUGGACAACUCAGUAAGCUGAGAUAAACAGGGUGUAUGCCGUUGGGGUGUUUUCCCCCCUUUCUCAAACUGGAGGUUCCAGCUUUGGUACCAUUGUUGUACAGCAGAAGAUCGUCUGGGGGACUGUGGCGGAUGAAGAGCUCGGGCUGUUUUCAUGUUGAAGCGGAGACAAUCAGAGGAGGUUCUCUUGACACAGCCCCCUUAGUCUACAACAAGCUUCUCAGAAAAGAAAAGAAAAAAAAAUCCUGUAUUCUCUCAGCUGAUGCUGCAAGUCUCAUUUUAAAUGCAGUGGAAGUAAGUACGGGAGUUCAUUAAGUAACAUGCUUUUUUGUGUGUGUGUGUGUUUUUUUUUCUAGAUUCAGUUUCCAAGAGUGGAAAAACAUUAAGCAGGAUUUUGGGAGGCAUAAAAGUAAGCUAAGUCAGGUGGGCACUCAACAUUACUAACCUGAAAAAGAGGACACGGACAGAAAGAAGCUUCAGAAAAGUGUACUUGAUUAAUUCGAAUUAUGCAAAACUGCGAAAGUACAGCAGCAGUAGCUAGUGAAGUGGAAAUGCUUUGAAGAAUGCGCACAAAGCAGAGCACCAAAGAGCACUGAGGAGUGGCAGGCAAUAAAUUAGGCAGAGCGAGAAUUCAGGAUGUGGUGGGACGAUCACAGCAGUGCAGCGAACAAUGCAAAAGACAAGCACAAGUGAUGGAAAGGAUGUGUCCUAAAGUUAUAGGAGUGCACAAAGCUGAAAAGUCAUCUCCAACGAUCAGAAAGCACAGCUGACAUCAUGACUGACAUCACAUACCUCCAUCCCGAGUAGAAAACCAGAUCAACCUCCAGUUUCUUUACCAGAUACUGACUACCCAACACUACAUUAUUGACUUUCUUCUUUGAGUUCUCCUUAGGACUGAAUGGAUUAGAGUACUUCUGGAUGAAAAGCAUUGUACUUGAAUAGCCUAAAAUUCCUUCUGCAAGGACCAAGAGUCUCUAAAGUUUCCUAAUGACACAAAAUUAUUCAUGGUAAACAGAACUGAAGCUGACUGUGAGCAGUUGUAGAAGGAUCUCACAAUAGCAAGUGAUCAGGCAGCAAGAUGGCAGAUGAAAUUCUACGACAGUAACUAAUGUAAAUAGCAAUGAAAAUAACCCUAACUAAACAUACACAAUAAUGGACUCUAAAUUAGCUUUUAUCAGUGGGAGUCAUUGUGAAUAGUUUUCUGCAAACAUUAGCCUACUACUCAGCAGCAGUCAAGAAGGCAAACAAUGUUAGAAAUGACUCCAAAAGCAUCUGAGAACAAAGCAGAAGAGCUCGUUAAGCUGCCAUGUAAAUCUCUUGUGUACUUGAGUAGUGUUUACAGUUCUGGCUCCUUCAUGGGAAAGGGGGGAUCUAGAAAACAUACAAGGCUAAAUACUCAGUGUAUGGAAAUGUACAGAAAUACGUUUGUGUGAUGAGAUAAUUUCUAACUGGGAAAUGGAGGGAAUAAGGAUUGUCUUCAGAUUCAUGAAAUCAUGAGCGAGAUGUAGGAGCCCAACAGGAAAUAAUCAUUUGCUAUUUUUCAUUACACAAUACGUAAGGGAGACGCAGUAAAUGAUCAGGCAGCAGGUUUAAAACAAUGACUGGGAAGAACCUUUCCAUACAAAGCAUUAUUAAAUUGGAUGGCUUGCUGUGACAUGACAGUAUGGAGCUGAAGACACAGAUGCUUUUAAGCAGGGAUUAUAAGACAGAAUGAAGGAUAGCUGUAGCUAUUAAGCACAGUGGUUUCCUUUUCAGAUCCUGCUUAAAAGUGCCUGCCUGUUGCCUGCUGAAAGUUGCCCAAGGAAGGACACUCUACAUGCCUUGUGUCAACACUCUCAGGCAUGAGAUGGUUUAUUCUUUUCUUCCUGCUCAGUUAAGUGUGAGAAAGGAAGGACAAACAGCAUCUCUAGGUAUGAAAACAUACUUCUACUUUUCCCCCAUUCUCCCUGGGAGUAAAAUCAGAAUCUUAGUCCUUUAUCUUGUUUGUGUGUUUUUCUAUUCCCCUGAAAAGAAUUUGGAAAAAAAUGCUUUCCCCAGUUCUUAUCAAUUUGCUCUUUGGUGGUUAGAGCCAUUCAGUAGUGACAAUCCACAUGCACUGGCCUAUCCAUAUCAGCACUAUUUUUCUCUCUCCUUUACACAAAAUGGGGGUACUACAGAGAAAGAGAAAUCAUAAAGUGGAAUAACAUCAGACAUGUAAAGAAUGUGUUAGAAAUACUUUCCGCAGUUGUCGAUCAUCAUAGGAAUAAGACCUAAAGCAUUCUUCAGCAUUCUGGAAGAGAAAGGGAUAGUAAUUUCUUCUCAUUGAAGAAGCUGGAAAGUGAAGUAGAAACACCCAGAGAUGCUUUAAAACUCAAACAAUAGGUAAACAUCCUACAAAGAUAAUCAGUUUCUAAGAAUUGUAUUAAGGAUACCCCUAUUAAAUACAAGAAACUAGAAAUCUGAAAAGCAAAUCUAAAAUGACGUUUGGCAGAAUUCCAAGAAUCUUUGAAGACAAACAUAUGAUAAAUCAUCUGGAGCGGUUAAAUCUCAUAUAAACAAAAUCUGUACGGUAGAUAAUCUGUAUAGCUAGUUAUCUGCACCCAGAGAGAGAUAAGGAAAAGAGUUUGUUUCAUACUUGAUUUCAGCAAUGGAUAGUAGUGCUUAAUCUUCAUAGGCUUAAUCUUCAGCAGAACACGAUUUCUUUUACUGUUCAGACUACAAAACCAAAACAGUAUAAAAUCUUUAAGGAAGAAAACUAGGUAAAGACUUAAGUGAAAAUUUCUUAUGCUUCUUAUAUACACGUAAGUAAAUCAAGUCUUACAUGGUAAAACUGAAAAGGUAUUGACUGCAGAAGAAAUCUGAGGAAUAGUUUUAAAUUGAUACAACUUAUUAAAAGUGUUCUUACCAUUUUGUAAAGCAUGUGUAUGCUUUUAGAAGUCUGUGGACUCUAUUAAAAGCUUUAAAAAGUCAUUUGUUCAAGAUAUACAGUGCAUAGGGUUUUGGUUUUUUUUUUAUGCCAUUGCCUUUGAUUUUGUUUCACUGGUUAAAUAUAACCACUCCACACCUGCUGUCCUUAUAUGUAACAGACACAUUAGGAGGGGGAUUUAGUGUGCCCAGGAUAAGGACAAUCAAAAUUCUGAUACUUAAAGUAACUUUCAGUUUUCCUACAAUUUUGUUUGUGAAGUUGCUUAUCAUUUCACUUUCAGAAGAUAUUUCCAGUAUAUAUUUGCAUUUCCAAAUAGAGUUUUUAUGUCCCCAUGACUAAAUACGCUCUGUUAACAUUGUCCUGGAUUUCUUAAAAUGACAGCUGAAAAAUUUAUUCAUUAGCACUUCCAGAAAAGAGAACUCCGUCAGAACAGUUGGAAGAUUUCCCAGGAUAUCUGUAUCUUCUUUACUCUCAUGUCAAGAUUUGUAAACGCUUUAAAUAUAGAGUAGGGUCUGGUUGGCAAUUAACUCUUUCAGUCUUAGCAAGGUCCUGCAGAUGUUCUGUAUUAACAAAAGGCUGCUCCUCUGCUAUUGCAUCUCUGGUCAAAGAUCACUGGAGGUAAUUUUAAUAGAGCUCUCUUUCUCAUUGUUCCAGAUCUCCUCUUCAACAGUUAAUUUUUAUUUUUUCAAACUACAAUCCUUUCAUCUGUUACCUGUAGUUUCCAGUUAGGUGACCAGUUAGCCUAUUGAGACUCAGUUCAUUUUCUUAUUUUUACAUUCUUCAGGUCUCACCUUGUAUUUGAAUACUUUACAGUGUGGGUGGUACUAACUCCCAUAUAUCAGCAGGUAAACCACGUUUAUUCUUAGCCUUAUGCUCCUUAGAUCGGUUUUAAAGACGCACCAAAGAACUUGCUACAAGAAAAGAGCACAAUGAGUCGACAAAACAACAAGAGAGUUUAUCCCAGAGUUAUCUCCUAGGAAGUCUAUCAUUUGCAGUGGUUUAGUGGCAUCACAGCUAAAAGAGCUGCUUCAAAGUUUUACCCUAUCUGCUUUCAGUCUUCUGCAAAAUAUUUAUGGGUUGUUGGAUCAUCCCCUCUUAGAACCUCAGGAGAGCUGAGAACCUAAUCUAAGGCAUCUUGAAAUUGCCGCAAAUAGCCUAUGCAAAAAUAAAUAAAUCGGUGUUUCUUAUCUUGUCUGGUGUGCCAAGGAAACAGACCACAAGAAACACUGGGGUCGUUAUGCAAGAUAGGAGGUAACAAAUCAGCUAAGAAGUGAAACUCAUAGAUUUCUUCCUAAACCCAAGUCUGCAGACUUUAAAGAAAAAAAAGUCAUAGUAAGAGAAUUGAGUAGCCAGAUGCAUGGUGCUAAAGUAGAUGACAAUAGCCUCACAUCAAUAUCUAUUACCUUAUAUCUACUACCUUAUUGCAGACCAAUUUACCCUAGAGUACAAAGCAAGCAAUUUAUAAAAAAUAUCAUUAGCUCAUUCACCAUUUCAAAUAUAUUCCCCUGUUAAUGUUACUCUUAAUUCCUUGCCUAUGUUUAAUAAGUUUUCAUGAGAAUUUUCUGCUGGCUGAAUUUGACUUCGAGAUCACGCUAUGUUGAUUUACUACUCCAUUAAGGUAGUGUGUCAAUAUGCUGCACCAGGUUUGCAUGCCAAGAUUUUCUUUCAUCCUCUAUUCAGCAUUUCAGGUGUUAAAAGGAAGUGAUGGGGCUAUUAUGUCAAAAAUUGCCAAGAACGACACGCAUCAACAACAAUCAGAUAACAGACAUCCUAUUGACUUGGUAAUCACUUGCAAUCAAAGCAGUGUGAGUACCUGCUGCAUUAUUCCUGACUAACAACUACAUAGAAAGAGGUACCUCAGCUACCCUGUGACCCACGAUAGAUUUUAGAUCAGGAACUUCCAACCUACAUGGAUCCAUGAGAGGAUUUCUUUAGGGUAUAUAUAUUCUACCCAAUUUUGACAGACAAAUCUUAGAAGAUUCCAGCUAUAAACAUGCUUUGAAUGAAACCAUUGUUUAGUUUUGUUCCCUGAGCUAAAAGCCUUGUUGUACAGCAAGAAUAAAGCAGGACCCCUUCUGCAACCAGUGAUAGGGCCCAAUAUGAGAUAAUACUCAGAUUGCCAUGUAAAACAUUAUUGUAAUAAGUAAAUUGCAUUUCUUAUAAGCUAUAUCUUCAUUAUAUGUCACAUAUUUCAUUGAUUUUCUGUUUAGAUUUUAAAUAAACUCUUCACAAUUAGGAUUUUUAAGCUCAAAUUUAAUAUCAAAAUGUAAUUAUGUUUCUUGAAAAUCAAUUUGAAUUGCCAAAAGGGCUAAAUAGUACAACUUUAAAAGAGACAAUAUAUUUCAAUUUUGUAGCCAUAUUACUAGCCAGCAUGAGAUGGUCUAAACUCUCCCAUUCCUUUAAAACUGUUUUUUCCCCUUAUCCACAAAUUGUAUCGUUCUCAUUUUUUUUCUCACUUUUCCGUUUUCAUAGCAAUCAUUAAAAGUUUCCACAUCUAGAAGCAGUAUUUAUCAGAAUUUUACAGUACUACUGGUAUCAGACUACGAUCUGUGCUAUGCCAUUUUGUCUCUUAACACCCUCCAUUAAUUUAUGGCAUUUCAGGCUUGUUUGUUUGUUUUUAAGUCUUCACCAUCAAUGUAAAGCUCCUACUUCCAAGUUAAUGGAGACACAAAUACAGGAAAGUUAUCUGGUUUACAGUCAUAUGUAUAAACUGUAUAACUUUUUUUACCCUUCAGUUCAGCUGUUUCUAUUCAAGAGUCAAUCUGACAGUGCCAUGCAUGGGUGGUAGGGCUGUGAAUUUGAGCUCUGAGAUACACGGAUUGUACAGUACUGAAAAGUUAUUUUAAAGCUGUGAUUUAUGGUGUUUAUAAGGCCCCAAGGCCAUGAAGGCCAUCAUCCUUACAAGCAACUGCUUCUUACAGCUUCCUGCAAAGCAUUUGUAACCAAGCAGAGUGCACAGCUGAGCACUGCUCUUACAGUCACCCAGCACAGAGCUGUUUCAUUUUUAUCUUCCACAAAUUCAGCUGGCAGAGCUGUCUGGAAACACCUUUAGUGUUUCAUGUGCAGUACAGCAUAAGUCUGGCCCCAGGAGGCCUGAUCCUGCCUAACUCAAGCUGCAGUUGUUGUAUUUGUUCCAGCCAAAAGCACAGGCUGUGGAUGAGCUGCCUGAUGCGAAUUUGUGCUGCAAGCAUUUCAAUGAACUUAAGGCAGCUACAGCCACAGGGCAGGCUGUGAAUGCAAGGAGGAACAGAAGCACCACACAGGCAAAGAAUGAGGUUACCCAACAAGAUAAAAAAGCUCAAGAGAAAGCAGACAUUUUGGAAUAACAGAUAAGGCUUUAAAAGUAAUCUUUGUGCGGUGGUAUUAUGUGCAUAUGAAAAAUACAUGGUGCAUGACAUGGUGAGUACAGCUCUCAUGCUGUGUAUUUUAAAAGAAAGGAUAAGACAGCAAAAAUAAAGCUACUACAAA
Cygnus olor (mute swan) is the source of this 6843-nucleotide long non-coding RNA. RefSeq lists it as uncharacterized. Lineage: Eukaryota; Metazoa; Chordata; Aves; Anseriformes; Anatidae. The record is from RefSeq and is a predicted model, not a curated record. The transcript has 3 exons.